Molecule: ribosomal RNA, 497 nt
Filed under: uncultured bacterium
Lineage: Bacteria
Description: partial 16S ribosomal RNA
Rfam family: Bacterial small subunit ribosomal RNA
Source: RNAcentral
GAUGAACGCUGGCGGCGUGCCUAAUACAUGCAAGUCGAGCGAACGGACGAGAAGCUUGCUUUUCUGAUGUUAGCGGCGGACGGGUGAGUAACACGUGGAUAACCUACCUAUAAGACUGGGAUAACUUCGGGAAACCGGAGCUAAUACCGGAUAAUAUUUUGAACCGCAUGGUUCAAAAGUGAAAGACGGUCUUGCUGUCACUUAUAGAUGGAUCCGCGCUGCAUUAUCUAGUUGGUAAGGUAACGGCUUACCAAGGCAACGAUGCAUAUCCGACCUGAGAGGGUGAUAGGCCACACUGGAACUGAGACACGGUCCAGACUACUACGGUAGGCAGCAGUAGGGAAUCUUCCGCAAUGGGCGGGAGUAUGACGGAGCAACGCCGCGUGAGUGAUGAAGGUCCUCGGAUCGUAAAACUCUGUUAUUAGGGAAGAACAUAUGUGUAAGUAACUGUGCACAUCGUGACGGUACCUAAUAAGAAAGCAACGGCUAACUACGUG